Salvia splendens (bonfire salvia) is the source of this 93-nucleotide small nucleolar RNA. RefSeq annotates it as small nucleolar RNA snoR26. Lineage: Eukaryota; Viridiplantae; Streptophyta; Magnoliopsida; Lamiales; Lamiaceae. The record is from RefSeq and is a predicted model, not a curated record. The transcript has a single exon.
UAAGCAUCCGAGAUGAGAAAACAUUAAUGUCAUCCUUGCCCUUUGAUUUAGAAAUGAAGAAAAUCAAUGGGGAAAUUAUACUCCGAGAUGCUU